Molecule: small nucleolar RNA, 101 nt
Filed under: Neolentinus lepideus HHB14362 ss-1
Lineage: Eukaryota; Fungi; Basidiomycota; Agaricomycetes; Gloeophyllales; Gloeophyllaceae
Description: Small nucleolar RNA Z13/snr52
Rfam family: Small nucleolar RNA Z13/snr52
About the family: Z13 or snr52 is a member of the C/D class of snoRNA which contain the C (UGAUGA) and D (CUGA) box motifs. Most of the members of the box C/D family function in directing site-specific 2'-O-methylation of substrate RNAs.
Source: Rfam by way of RNAcentral
UGGUUUGUUGUGAUGAAACAGAUACGGAUGUAAAUCAUAUUCUGUCCGAGAGCGCUUAAUCCCGUGUGGAUAUCUCCGUUGCCUUCCUUCUGAUAUUAACU